Molecule: ribosomal RNA, 751 nt
Filed under: Micromonospora krabiensis
Lineage: Bacteria; Bacillati; Actinomycetota; Actinomycetes; Micromonosporales; Micromonosporaceae
Description: bacterial SSU rRNA
Rfam family: Bacterial small subunit ribosomal RNA
Source: RNAcentral
GGGAUAACCCUCGGAAACGGGGGCUAAUACCGAAUAGGACCUUCGGACGCAUGUCUGAGGGUGGAAAGUUUUUCGGCCUGGGAUGGGCUCGCGGCCUAUCAGCUUGUUGGUGGGGUGAUGGCCUACCAAGGCGACGACGGGUAGCCGGCCUGAGAGGGCGACCGGCCACACUGGGACUGAGACACGGCCCAGACUCCUACGGGAGGCAGCAGUGGGGAAUAUUGCACAAUGGGCGGAAGCCUGAUGCAGCGACGCCGCGUGAGGGAUGACGGCCUUCGGGUUGUAAACCUCUUUCAGCAGGGACGAAGCGCAAGUGACGGUACCUGCAGAAGAAGCGCCGGCCAACUACGUGCCAGCAGCCGCGGUAAGACGUAGGGCGCGAGCGUUGUCCGGAUUUAUUGGGCGUAAAGAGCUCGUAGGCGGCUUGUCGCGUCGACCGUGAAAACUUGGGGCUCAACCCCAAGCCUGCGGUCGAUACGGGCAGGCUAGAGUUCGGUAGGGGAGACUGGAAUUCCUGGUGUAGCGGUGAAAUGCGCAGAUAUCAGGAGGAACACCGGUGGCGAAGGCGGGUCUCUGGGCCGAUACUGACGCUGAGGAGCGAAAGCGUGGGGAGCGAACAGGAUUAGAUACCCUGGUAGUCCACGCUGUAAACGUUGGGCGCUAGGUGUGGGGGGCCUCUCCGGUUCCCUGUGCCGCAGCUAACGCAUUAAGCGCCCCGCCUGGGGAGUACGGCCGCAAGGCUAAAACUCAA